GAUGAACGCUGGCGGCGUGCCUAAUACAUGCAAGUCGAGCGAACAGAUGAGGAGCUUGCUCCUCUGACGUUAGCGGCGGACGGGUGAGUAACACGUGGAUAACCUACCUAUAAGACUGGGAUAACUUCGGGAAACCGGAGCUAAUACCGGAUAAUAUAUUGAACCGCAUGGUUCAAUAGUGAAAGACGGUUUUGCUGUCACUUAUAGAUGGAUCCGCGCCGCAUUAGCUAGUUGGUAAGGUAACGGCUUACCAAGGCAACGAUGCGUAGCCGACCUGAGAGGGUGAUCGGCCACACUGGAACUGAGACACGGUCCAGACUCCUACGGGAGGCAGCAGUAGGGAAUCUUCCGCAAUGGGCGAAAGCCUGACGGAGCAACGCCGCGUGAGUGAUGAAGGUCUUCGGAUCGUAAAACUCUGUUAUUAGGGAAGAACAAAUGUGUAAGUAACUAUGCACGUCUUGACGGAACCUAAUCAGAAAGCCACGGCUAACUACGU
This 496-nucleotide ribosomal RNA is filed under the name uncultured bacterium. RNAcentral's name for it is "partial 16S ribosomal RNA". It matches the Rfam family "Bacterial small subunit ribosomal RNA", at positions 28 to 506 of the family's 1533-position model. The record is from RNAcentral.